CGUCCGAUUAUUGCCGGUCCUCCUUCCAGCACGGCUCUCGCCGACUGCACACUACUCCUUUCUCCGCCGGACUCUACCCCCCACCCACUUUCCCCCCGCCGCAGAGCCGAGGGGGCGGGGGCUCCUUCCCUGGAGUGUUUCUAGAGCCCGGAGGCUGCUAGUAGGGGGGCACCACUUUCAGAUAAAAACGUAGACCUGAAUGGCAUCAUCCAGUAUCCAAGGAAACCAUAAUGGAAUGGAAGAAUGUGAAAUGCUAUUAGACACAGAUCCAGCAGUAGAAAAUCUUAACUGAGA
Molecule: long non-coding RNA, 294 nt
Organism: Tupaia belangeri chinensis (Chinese tree shrew)
Lineage: Eukaryota; Metazoa; Chordata; Mammalia; Scandentia; Tupaiidae
Exons: 3
Source: RefSeq, a predicted model, not a curated record